RNAcentral lists this ribosomal RNA (471 nucleotides) under Hoylesella oralis. Its description in RNAcentral is "bacterial SSU rRNA". It matches the Rfam family "Bacterial small subunit ribosomal RNA", at positions 28 to 485 of the family's 1533-position model. The record is from RNAcentral. Lineage: Bacteria; Pseudomonadati; Bacteroidota; Bacteroidia; Bacteroidales; Prevotellaceae.
GAUGAACGCUAGCUACAGGCUUAACACAUGCAAGUCGCGGGGCAUCAUGGAGGUUGCUUGCAAUUUCUGAUGGCGACCGGCGCACGGGUGAGUAACGCGUAUCCAACCUUCCCAUUACUACGGCAUACCCCGUUGAAAGGCGGCCUAAUUCCGUAUGCAGUCCGAAGCAGUCAUCUAAUUUGGACGAAAGGUAUAUUCUAUCGGUAAUGGAUGGGGAUGCGUCCGAUUAGCCAGCCGGCGGGGUAACGGCCCACCGGGGCAUUGAUCGGUAGGGGUUCUGAGAGGAAGGUCCCCCACACUGGAACUGAGACACGGUCCAGACUCCUACGGGAGGCAGCAGUGAGGAAUAUUGGUCAAUGGGCGUAAGCCUGAACCAGCCAAGUAGCGUGCAGGAUGACGGCCCUAUGGGUUGUAAACUGCUUUUAUGCGGGGAUAAAGUUGGGGACGUGUCCCUUUUGCAGUACCGCAUGA